UACGUAGGGCGCAAGCGUUGUCCGGAUUUAUUGGGCGUAAAGAGCGUGUAGGCGGCCAUGUAGGUCCGUUGUGAAAACUCGAGGCUCAACCUCGAGACGCCGAUGGAAACCAUGUGGCUAGAGUCCGGAAGAGGAGAGUGGAAUUCCUGGUGUAGCGGUGAAAUGCGCAGAUAUCAGGAAGAACACCCGUGGCUAAGGCGGCUCUCUAGUACGGUACUGACGCUGAGACGCGAAAGCGUGGGGAGCGAACAGG
RNAcentral lists this ribosomal RNA (253 nucleotides) under uncultured bacterium. RNAcentral describes it as "partial 16S ribosomal RNA". It matches the Rfam family "Bacterial small subunit ribosomal RNA", at positions 524 to 776 of the family's 1533-position model. The record is from RNAcentral.